This 77-nucleotide transfer RNA is filed under the name Candidatus Endobugula sertula (Bugula neritina bacterial symbiont). Its description in RNAcentral is "tRNA-Asn". It matches the Rfam family "tRNA". From Rfam's summary of the family: Transfer RNA (tRNA) molecules are approximately 80 nucleotides in length. Their secondary structure includes four short double-helical elements and three loops (D, anti-codon, and T loops). Further hydrogen bonds mediate the characteristic L-shaped molecular structure. tRNAs have two regions of fundamental functional importance: the anti-codon, which is responsible for specific mRNA codon recognition, and the 3' end, to which the tRNAs corresponding amino acid is attached (by aminoacyl-tRNA synthetases). tRNAs cope with the degeneracy of the genetic code in two manners: having more than one tRNA (with a specific anti-codon) for a particular amino acid; and 'wobble' base-pairing, i.e. permitting non-standard base-pairing at the 3rd anti-codon position. Lineage: Bacteria; Pseudomonadati; Pseudomonadota; Gammaproteobacteria; Cellvibrionales; Cellvibrionaceae. The record is from RNAcentral.
UCCGGUGUGAAGCAGAGUGGUAAUGCGCCUGACUGUUAAUCAGGAGUUCGUUGGUUCGAUCCCAACUGCCGGAGCCA